CGGCGCUGGCGGGCGGCACCGAGGUGCUCUGGAACGGCGUCCUGAACAAGAUCGUCAUUCCGAUGUUCCUGUCGCCGGUCGUCGGC
RNAcentral lists this transfer RNA (86 nucleotides) under Streptomyces sp. 1-11. RNAcentral's name for it is "tRNA-Ser". Lineage: Bacteria; Bacillati; Actinomycetota; Actinomycetes; Kitasatosporales; Streptomycetaceae. The record is from RNAcentral.